GACGAACGCUGGCGGCGUGCUUAACACAUGCAAGUCGAGCGGUAAGGCCCUUUCGGGGGUACACGAGCGGCGAACGGGUGAGUAACACGUGGGUGACCUGCCCUCAGCUCUGGGAUAAGCCCGGGAAACUGGGUCUAAUACUGGAUAUUACUCUGCGGUGCAUGCCGUGGGGUGAAAGCCUUGUGCGGCUGGGGAUGGGCCCGCGGCCUAUCAGCUUGUUGGUGGGGUGAUGGCCACCAAGGCGACGACGGGUAGCCGGCCUGAGAGGGCGACCGGCCACACUGGGACUGAGACACGGCCCAGACUCC
This 308-nucleotide ribosomal RNA is filed under the name uncultured bacterium. RNAcentral's name for it is "bacterial SSU rRNA". It matches the Rfam family "Bacterial small subunit ribosomal RNA", at positions 28 to 339 of the family's 1533-position model. The record is from RNAcentral.